AAGAACUUAGGCCAAUUAGACCAAAGGCCUUCAAAGUCUUUAGUAGAAGUUAAAAUCUUCUAGUCCUUG
This 69-nucleotide transfer RNA is filed under the name Hynobius formosanus (Formosan salamander). RNAcentral describes it as "tRNA-Trp". It matches the Rfam family "tRNA". Rfam says of the family: Transfer RNA (tRNA) molecules are approximately 80 nucleotides in length. Lineage: Eukaryota; Metazoa; Chordata; Amphibia; Caudata; Hynobiidae. RNAcentral also lists the same sequence under 2 other names. The record is from RNAcentral.